GACGAACGCUGGCGGCGUGCUUAACACAUGCAAGUCGAACGGUAAGGCCCUUCGGGGUACACGAGUGGCGAACGGGUGAGUAACACGUGGGUGAUCUGCCCUGCACUUCGGGAUAAGCCUGGGAAACUGGGUCUAAUACCGGAUAGGACUCCUGCCUGCAUGGGUGGGGGUGGAAAGCUUUUGCGGUGUGGGAUGGGCCCGCGGCCUGUCAGCUUGUUGGUGGGGUGAUGGCCUACCAAGGCGACGACGGGUAGCCGGCCUGAGAGGGUGACCGGCCACGCUGGGACUGAGAUACGGCCCAGACUGCUACGGGAGGCAGCAGGGGGGAAUAUUGCACAAUGGGCGCAAGCCUGAUGCAGCGACGCCGCGUGAGGGAUGACGGCCUUCGGGUUGUAAACCUCUUUCAGCACCGACGAAGCGCAAGUGACGGUAGGUGCAGAAGAAGGACCGGCCAACUACGUGCCAGCCGCCGCCGUAA
RNAcentral lists this ribosomal RNA (478 nucleotides) under uncultured bacterium. RNAcentral's name for it is "partial 16S ribosomal RNA". It matches the Rfam family "Bacterial small subunit ribosomal RNA", at positions 28 to 523 of the family's 1533-position model. The record is from RNAcentral.